ACUUUAGCUCAGUAGGUAGAGCACUUCCUUGGUAAGGAAGAGGUCGACGGUUCGAUUCCGUUAG
This 64-nucleotide transfer RNA is filed under the name human gut metagenome. It matches the Rfam family "tRNA", at positions 6 to 65 of the family's 71-position model. Rfam says of the family: Transfer RNA (tRNA) molecules are approximately 80 nucleotides in length. Their secondary structure includes four short double-helical elements and three loops (D, anti-codon, and T loops). The record is from RNAcentral.